UAGAGGUUUGUAGUCCUGGCGUCAGGAUGAACGCUGGCGGCGUUGCUUAACACAUGCAAGUCGAACGGACAGGUAAUGAAACCUAGUGAUUUUAUCUGUUAGUGGCGGACGGGUGAGUAACGACGUGGGUAACCGUGCCGUAUACAGGGGGAUAACACUUAGAAAUAGGUGCUAAGACCGCAUAAGCGCACAGGAUCGCAUGGUCCGGUGUGAAAAACUCCGGUGGUAUACGAUGGACCCGCGUCUGAUUAGCUUGUUGGCGGGGUAGAGGCCCACCAAGGCGACGAUCAGUAGCCGGCCUGAGAGGGUGAACGGCCACAUUGGGACUGAGACACGGCCCAAACUCCUACGGGAGGCAGCAGUGGGGGAAUAUUGCACAAUGGGGGAAACCCUGAUGCAGCGACGCCGCGUGAGUGAAGAAGUAUUUCGGUAUGUAAAGCUCUAUCAGCAGGAAAGAAAAUGACGGUACCUGACUAAGAAGCCCCCGGCUAACUACGUG
RNAcentral lists this ribosomal RNA (499 nucleotides) under uncultured Lachnospiraceae bacterium. Its description in RNAcentral is "bacterial SSU rRNA". It matches the Rfam family "Bacterial small subunit ribosomal RNA", at positions 1 to 507 of the family's 1533-position model. Lineage: Bacteria; Bacillati; Bacillota; Clostridia; Lachnospirales; Lachnospiraceae. The record is from RNAcentral.